AGAGUUUGAUCAUGGCUCAGGACGAACGCUGGCGGCGUGCCUAACACAUGCAAGUCGAGCGGAGAUAUUAAAGGGUAACCGGAGAUAUCUUAGCGGCGGACGGGUGAGUAACGCGUGGGUAACCUGCCUUUUACAGGGGGGAUAACAUCGGGAAACUGGUGCUAAUACCGCAUAAAGUUAGUCUGUGGCAUCAUAGAUUAACCAAAGGAGUCAAAUCCGGUAAGAGAUGGACCCGCGUCCGAUUAGCUAGUUGGUGGGGUAAAGGCCUACCAAGGCAGCGAUCGGUAGCCGGACUGAGAGGUUGAACGGCCACAUUGGGACUGAGACACGGCCCAAACUCCUACGGGAGGCAGCAGUGGGGAAUAUUGCGCAAUGGGGGAAACCCUGACGCAGCAACGCCGCGUGAAGGAAGAAGGCUUUCGGGUUGUAAACUUCUUUGAAUGGGGAAGAAUAAAUGACGGUACCCAUAGAACAAGCCACGGCUAACUACGUGCCAGCAGCCGCGGUAAUACGUAGGUGGCAAGCGUUGUCCGGAAUUACUGGGUGUAAAGGGCGUGUAGGCGGGGAGGCAAGUCAGAUGUGAAAUUCCAAGGCUUAACCAUGGAGCUGCAUCUGAAACUGUUUCUCUUGAGUAUCGGAGAGGAAAGUGGAAUUCCUAGUGUAGCGGUGAAAUGCGUAGAGAUUAGGAGGAACACCAGUGGCGAAGGCGGCUUUCUGGACGAUAACUGACGCUGAGGCGCGAAAGCGUGGGGAGCAAACAGGAUUAGAUACCCUAGUAGUCC
Molecule: ribosomal RNA, 782 nt
Filed under: uncultured bacterium
Lineage: Bacteria
Description: bacterial SSU rRNA
Rfam family: Bacterial small subunit ribosomal RNA
Source: RNAcentral